UCACCUCUCUCUUCUAUGACUUGCCUGUAAUAUAUUGCCUCUCAGUUUUGUCAAUUGGUUGUGCAGGUUAGUAUUGCUAAAUAGAUGAGUGAUUCAUUGGAAAAUAUAUUCAUGUUGUAUUAUUUGAAACUCAAGCAUCAGAUAAUUAUUCUCAGAUUUAGAUAUCUUGCUACAGUCAAUUUUGUACAGAUUCAACCUUUGUAUACAAAUAGCUUAGAUUGCAGUCACAAUGACAAGCUAGCCGGCUAUACCAACAAAGCCAAAGCAAAACAAAAAUUAAGGAAACCUUGUGAUAUGCAUAGAUCCGAGUUUCAGGGGAUCUAGGUUCUCUCUGGUGGAUAGGGGUUUUAUAUAUGUGAUCAUAUCCGCGGAGAUGGUGAAAUGGGUUGGCAGUGUUAUGAAGCUGGGAAGCUGUUGAAGAAGACCAACACUUUCACUGACUUAGUUGCUUGUGCUGAGCAGUAAAGAAACGUUUUGUAUCAGCGGGAGAAGUGCAUGUGGCAUGUUGAUGGGUAUUAUCCUAAAUAUGAGGCCUGACUUAUUCAAGCCAACUGUUGCUGAGGUGCCUUUAGUUGAUGUUCUCACAACUAUGCUUGAUCCAGCUAUCCCGUUGACUGCAGCUGAAUGGGAGAGUGAGCAACUCUUGUGGAGUGAGAGGAAAUGACAAGCCGUUUGUGCAAAAUAGGAGUUAAUCGAAGAGCUGGAGUCUAGAGGGAAAAAAGUUCAGAUUUUGCGACAGUAUUUCAGAGAAGCUGGUGUCGGUUAUCUUAGAUAGUCCCAACAAGGUUUCUCUAAAAGGAUAUUCACAAGAAGAGUGGACCAUAGAUGAGAGUGAUGAACCAUAGAUGAUGGAAAUACUUAAAUAUAGAUGGAGAUAAUGCUGAACUAAAAGCGCCUACGGGUUUGUUGGACAAUCGUCAUCGGCCAUGGUGGAGGGCUGGAGGAGGGAGGUGGAGCAGGAACGUCGGUCGCACUCCAUCCUACACGCCGAUGCCCCCUCCUGGUCUCGGAAAAAGAGGCCAAGUCAUGACAGGCAGCAGCGAGCAGGGCGUUCAACGCAGUUGUUGGGACAGGCUGCCGGAGUGGUGUUCUUGACCUCAUGUGCAGCUGGGAAAAGAUGUCCGCUUUGUUGUACUGCAAGCUGCUGAUGGCAGGCGAGUUUUAGCUAGCUUCUCGCGAGGAUUUCUGCUAGGUCAUGAAGCACAAAAAAGGCCUGAGUAAAAAUAACAUGUGCCGUUUGCGGCCGGUCAAGAGCUUGGCCAGUAUGGGCAGCAAUAAAAAUUUCGAGCAAUUAAUCGUGAGGCUUUGGUGUACAGGAUCAUUGAGAAGGUUUAGAGUAUCCUUGAUGCUCUAUUUGGGUAGGGAAGACCAAAAAGUGUUGCCUACCAAUGGAAGAUUGUGUGUGCUCAAAACUUGCUCCGUGCAAUUUGUAUGGCGGCAUAAAAUUUUGGCUGUACAUGCAUCCAAAGAUCUGUCUUAAGAUUUCUGUUGUACUCGCCGCCAGGACCGUUGCCAGCACUCAGCAAGAUCUCGGCUUUGUACAUCCUUCUGAUUGAAUGAUUCCCAGUGAUUGAUCAUGCUCAGAGUCCAGAAUCCAAACAUGCUGAGUUAGUCCAGAAAAAUAGGCAAGCCACCAAUCUGAACUAAAUUUUGACUAGGAUCAUUCUUAUGCUGCUAUUUAAUUUAUCUUUGUACAAAACACAUCCAUGUGUUAAGUCAAUGUGCGCAUGAUUCUUAGACCGUUAAUAGCGCGUAAACAUUUGGAUCGCGGGUUACAUUGCUACAUGCUGGCCAAUUAUUUGUAACUUUUCUUAUGUACUUUGUUGAAUAAAUUGGAAAGAGAAGUAUUUUGUUAGUAAA
Lolium perenne is the source of this 1860-nucleotide non-coding RNA. Lineage: Eukaryota; Viridiplantae; Streptophyta; Magnoliopsida; Poales; Poaceae. The record is from RefSeq and is a predicted model, not a curated record.